ACGGUGAACACGGAGCUUGCUCUGUGGGAUCAGUGGCGAACGGGUGAGUAACACGUGAGCAACCUGCCCCUGACUCUGGGAUAAGCGCUGGAAACGGCGUCUAAUACUGGAUAUGUGACGUGACCGCAUGGUCUGCGUCUGGAAAGAAUUUCGGUUGGGGAUGGGCUCGCGGCCUAUCAGCUUGUUGGUGAGGUAAUGGCUCACCAAGGCGUCGACGGGUAGCCGGCCUGAGAGGGUGACCGGCCACACUGGGACUGAGACACGGCCCAGACUCCUACGGGAGGCAGCAGUGGGGAAUAUUGCACAAUGGGCGCAAGCCUGAUGCAGCAACGCCGCGUGAGGGAUGACGGCCUUCGGGUUGUAAACCUCUUUUAGCAGGGAAGAAGCGAAAGUGACGGUACCUGCAGAAAAAGCGCCGGCUAACUACGUGCCAGCAGCCGCGGUAAUACGUAGGGCGCAAGCGUUAUCCGGAAUUAUUGGGCGUAAAGAGCUCGUAGGCGGUUUGUCGCGUCUGCUGUGAAAUCCGGAGGCUCAACCUCCGGCCUGCAGUGGGUACGGGCAGACUAGAGUGCGGUAGGGGAGAUUGGAAUUCCUGGUGUAGCGGUGGAAUGCGCAGAUAUCAGGAGGAACACCGAUGGCGAAGGCAGAUCUCUGGGCCGUAACUGACGCUGAGGAGCGAAAGGGUGGGGAGCAAACAGGCU
This 701-nucleotide ribosomal RNA is filed under the name Microbacterium sp. T0-YC6750. RNAcentral's name for it is "bacterial SSU rRNA". It matches the Rfam family "Bacterial small subunit ribosomal RNA", at positions 66 to 778 of the family's 1533-position model. Lineage: Bacteria; Bacillati; Actinomycetota; Actinomycetes; Micrococcales; Microbacteriaceae. The record is from RNAcentral.